CAAAGAACUUUGAAGAGAGAGUUCAAGAGGACGUGAAACCACAAGGGGCGAAGCGGAUAGAGUUGACGAAACUGGUAGUAAUCAGUGCAAAGUGCUGCCUGGCUGCGUUCGUGCUGCUUGGGUUUCCAAGGCGGACGUAGUCUUAGCUUGCUGGUACUUUGCACGCUUUUACUGCUAGUAGUGCCGAUUGCCUCGGUUGCUCCUUCUGAACCGUUGAGUUGAGGCCCACCUCGGUGGUUACCUGCUUGGCGGGGAGGUUGUGUAGUGGCUGGGGUUUAAGGGUCCGGCCUUUGCGAGGGAUGCCUGUGUCUGCAUUCGAGGAAUCUUCUGGCAGGUCCAGGGUGAACUUGGGUGUUUGGCAUGGUGUAUACUUCGUUGGACUCGUUUUCGGCUUGAAAGUUGACCACCUAUCCGACCCGUCUUGAAACACGGACCAAGAAGUCUAGUAUGUGCGCGAGUCAGUGGGCGUUAACCCUAUUGGCGUAAUGAAAGUAAAGGGCGGCUUGCCGUCUGAUAUGUGAUCCGUGAUUCGUCGCGGUGCAACAUAGCCCCAUGCCAGCUGCUUGCAGCGGUGUGGAGGUAGAGCGUACAUACUGGGACCCGAAAGAUGGUGAACUAUGCCUGAGCAGGACGAAGCCAGAGGAAACUCUGGUGGAGGUCCGAAGCGGUUCUGACGUGCAAAUCGAUCGUCUGACUUGGGUAUAGGGGCGAAAGACUAAUCGAACCAUC
RNAcentral lists this ribosomal RNA (729 nucleotides) under Rhabditolaimus sp. NK2013Eg. Its description in RNAcentral is "eukaryotic LSU rRNA". It matches the Rfam family "Eukaryotic large subunit ribosomal RNA", at positions 367 to 944 of the family's 3401-position model. The record is from RNAcentral. Lineage: Eukaryota; Metazoa; Nematoda; Chromadorea; Rhabditida; Diplogasteridae.